CAUAGCCAUAAGCCAUUACUUAUGGUGUUUUCUGCUCAAUGAGACAUUAAAUAGCCGCAGUACACUGACUGUGCAAAGGUAGCGUAAUAAUUUGUCUUCUAAUUAAAGUCUUGUAUGAAUGAAUAUAUGGGGGCUUACUAUACCUAUAGCAUAAUACGAAAUUACUUAAUGAGUGAAAAUACUCAUGUAUAAAUAAUAGACGAGAAGACCCUAGAAAUUUGUAAUGAUGUUUUGUUGGGGCAACAGGGUAACAACUAAUUUACUUGCGUAUAUGAAAUAAAAUGGUAAAAUUAAAUUACUCUAGGGAUAACAGCAUAAUCUAUAAGUGUUUGUGACCUCGAUGUUGGAUUAGGAAAUUGCAACCUAGAAGGUUAUCAAUACAGCUCUGUUCGAGCUACACU
This 401-nucleotide ribosomal RNA is filed under the name Sphaerospira informis. Its description in RNAcentral is "partial 16S ribosomal RNA". It matches the Rfam family "Archaeal large subunit ribosomal RNA", at positions 1906 to 2661 of the family's 2987-position model. The record is from RNAcentral. Lineage: Eukaryota; Metazoa; Mollusca; Gastropoda; Stylommatophora; Camaenidae.